AGAGUUUGAUCAUGGCUCAGAACGAACGCUGGCGGCGUGGAUAAGACAUGCAAGUCGAGCGCUGAUUUCAAGGUAGCAAUAUUUUGAAGUCGGAGCGGCGCAAGGGUGCGUAACACGUGGGUAAUCUGCCAUGAAGUUUGGGAUAACUCGCUGAAAGGCGAGCUAAUACCGGAUGUGACAACUGAAAGGCAUCUUUUGGUUGUCAAGGCUGGGGACCGUAAGGCCUGGCGCUUCUUGAUGAGCCCGCGGCCUAUCAGCUAGUUGGUGAGGUAACGGCUCACCAAGGCUAAGACGGGUAGCUGGUCUGAGAGGACGACCAGCCACACUGGAACUGAAACACGGUCCAGACACCUACGGGUGGCAGCAGUCGAGAAUUUUUCACAAUGGGCGCAAGCCUGAUGGAGCGACGCCGCGUGGGGGAUGAAUGGCUUCGGCCCGUAAACCCCUGUCAUUUGCGAUCAAACCUUAUUAUUUAAAAGAUGAUGAGCUGAUAGUAGCGAAAGAGGAAGGGACGGCUAACUCUGUGCCAGCAGCCGCGGUAAUACAGAGGUCCCAAGCGUUGUUCGGAUUCACUGGGCGUAAAGGGUGCGUAGGUGGUCAGGUAAGUCGGAUGUGAAAUCUCGGAGCUUAACUCCGAAACUGCAUUGGAAACUACCUGGCUCGAGGAAUGGAGGGGGGACUGGAAUUCUCGGUGUAGCAGUGAAAUGCGUAGAUAUCGAGAGGAACACCAGUGGCGAAGGCGAGUCCCUGGACAUCUCCUGACACUGAGGCACGAAAGCUAGGGGAGCAAACAGGAUUAGAUACCCUAGUAGUCC
This 815-nucleotide ribosomal RNA is filed under the name uncultured bacterium. Its description in RNAcentral is "bacterial SSU rRNA". It matches the Rfam family "Bacterial small subunit ribosomal RNA", at positions 8 to 796 of the family's 1533-position model. The record is from RNAcentral.